UACGUAGGGUGCGAGCGUUGUCCGGAAUUAUUGGGCGUAAAGAGCUCGUAGGCGGUGUGUCACGUCGGCCGUGAAAACCUGCAGCUUAACUGUGGGCGUGCGGUCGAUACGGGCAUCACUGGAGUUCGGCAGGGGAGACUGGAAUUCCUGGUGUAGCGGUGAAAUGCGCAGAUAUCAGGAGGAACACCGGUGGCGAAGGCGGGUCUCUGGGC
This 212-nucleotide ribosomal RNA is filed under the name uncultured bacterium. Its description in RNAcentral is "partial 16S ribosomal RNA". It matches the Rfam family "Bacterial small subunit ribosomal RNA", at positions 524 to 734 of the family's 1533-position model. The record is from RNAcentral.